Molecule: unclassified non-coding RNA, 285 nt
Filed under: plant metagenome
Description: partial contains small subunit ribosomal RNA and internal transcribed spacer 1
Rfam family: Eukaryotic small subunit ribosomal RNA (bases 1-54)
Source: RNAcentral
GGCAGUAAAAGUCGUAACAAGGUUUCCGUAGGUGAACCUGCGGAAGGAUCAUUAUUGUAUAACCGAGGUGCGAGGGCUGUCGCUGACCCGAAAGGUCGUGCACGCCCGAGUGCCCUCACACACAUCCAUCUCACCCCUAUGUGCACCACCGCGUGGGUCCCCCUUUGGCUUGUUCGGAGGGGGGCUUACGUUUUCACACAAACUUUGUAUGCAGUGUAGAAUGUAUUUUUUGUUUUUGCGAUCACGCAAUCAAUACAUCUUUCAACAACGGAUCUCUUGGCUCUC